CAACAACGCAUGAUUGACAGGAUUUCAUUGAAUCCUCAGAAUAUCCCUGUGGGUAACAGCUCCAUAGUUGCAGGAGGAAGCUGGCUCAUAACAGAGAGAGAUUUCAGGUACAUUUCAUACAGCCGCCCUGCAAGAGAAGCAGUCUUCCACAGAGGAGAAACCCG
This 164-nucleotide long non-coding RNA is filed under the name Mustela putorius furo (domestic ferret). Its description in RNAcentral is "lncRNA (ENSMPUG00000028906.1)". Lineage: Eukaryota; Metazoa; Chordata; Mammalia; Carnivora; Mustelidae. The record is from RNAcentral.